This 492-nucleotide ribosomal RNA is filed under the name uncultured bacterium. Its description in RNAcentral is "partial 16S ribosomal RNA". It matches the Rfam family "Bacterial small subunit ribosomal RNA", at positions 29 to 507 of the family's 1533-position model. The record is from RNAcentral.
AGUGAACGCUGGCGGUAGGCCUAACACAUGCAAGUCGAACGGCAGCACAGUAAGAGCUUGCUCUUACGGGUGGCGAGUGGCGGACGGGUGAGGAAUACAUCGGAAUCUACUUUUUCGUGGGGGAUAACGUAGGGAAACUUACGCUAAUACCGCAUACGACCUACGGGUGAAAGCAGGGGAUCUUCGGACCUUGCGCGAUUGAAUGAGCCGAUGUCGGAUUAGCUAGUUGGCGGGGUAAAGGCCCACCAAGGCGACGAUCCGUAGCUGGUCUGAGAGGAUGAUCAGCCCCACUAGAACUGAGACACGGUCCAGACUCCUACGGGAGGCAGCAGUGGGGAAUAUUGGACAAUGGGCGCAAGCCUGAUCCAGCCAUACCGCGUGGGUGAAGAAGGCCUUCGGGUUGUAAAGCCCUUUUGUUGGGAAAGAAAAGCAGCAGGUUAAUACCCCGCUGUUCUGACGGUACCCAAAGAAUAAGCACCGGCUAACUUCGUG